This 226-nucleotide ribosomal RNA is filed under the name uncultured bacterium. RNAcentral's name for it is "partial 16S ribosomal RNA". It matches the Rfam family "Bacterial small subunit ribosomal RNA", at positions 538 to 763 of the family's 1533-position model. The record is from RNAcentral.
GCGUUAAUCGGAAUUACUGGGCGUAAAGCGUGCGCAGGCGGCUUUGCAAGACAGAUGUGAAAUCCCCGGGCUCAACCUGGGAACUGCAUUUGUGACUGCAAGGCUAGAGUACGGCAGAGGGGGAUGGAAUUCCGCGUGUAGCAGUGAAAUGCGUAGAUAUGCGGAGGAACACCAAUGGCGAAGGCAAUCCCCUGGGCCUGUACUGACGCUCAUGCACGAAAGCGUG